UGCCCUGCGCCUCGCUCAGCUGGGCCGGGACCCGCGGCUCCAGCUUCUGGAAACCCCCUUUCCGAGGGGAGGCAGGCUUCGGCCUCUUUCCUAAAUCCAGUCGGGAAGUCCUCUUCAAGAGGGAUUGAACUCCAGACCUUGCGCUUGCAAGGCAGCCAGCAGAACUACUGAGCUAAAUCCCCAGCCUCUGGAGAAGGAAUUCUGGGCAGCUUCAUUUCCCAGAAGUUGCUGCUUCUAGUCAGAAGAAGCUAUCGAGGUUGGAAGUAGAGUGAGGAACAUUCUCAAAAGACCCCUCCCAGAAAAGCUGUAUAAA
Long non-coding RNA from Fukomys damarensis (Damara mole-rat), 313 nucleotides. RefSeq lists it as uncharacterized. Lineage: Eukaryota; Metazoa; Chordata; Mammalia; Rodentia; Bathyergidae. The transcript has 3 exons. The record is from RefSeq and is a predicted model, not a curated record.